CCUGAUGCAGCAACGCCGCGUGAACGAUGAAGGUCUUCGGAUCGUAAAGUUCUGUUGCAGGGGAAGAUAAUGACGGUACCCUGUGAGGAAGCCCCGGCUAACUACGUGCCAGCAGCCGCGGUAAUACGUAGGGGGCUAGCGUUAUCCGGAUUUACUGGGCGUAAAGGGUGCGUAGGUGGUCCUUCAAGUCGGUGGUUAAAGGCUACGGCUCAACCGUAGUAAGCCGCCGAAACUGGAGGACUUGAGUGCAGGAGAGGAAAGUGGAAUUCCCAGUGUAGCGGUGAAAUGCGUAGAUAUUGGGAGGAACACCAGUAGCGAAGGCGGCUUUCUGGACUGCAACUGACACUGAGGCACGAAAGCGUGGGUAGCAAACAGGAUUAGAUACCCUGGUAGUCCACGCUGUAAACGAUGAGUACUAGGUGUCGGGGGUUACCCCCCUCGGUGCCGCAGCUAACGCAUUAAGUACUCCGCCUGGGGAGUACGCACGCCAGUGUGAAACUCAAAGGAAUUGACGGGGACCCGCACAAGUAGCGGAGCAUGUGGUUUAAUUCGAAGCAACGCGAAGAACCU
RNAcentral lists this ribosomal RNA (570 nucleotides) under Peptostreptococcus stomatis. RNAcentral describes it as "bacterial SSU rRNA". It matches the Rfam family "Bacterial small subunit ribosomal RNA", at positions 382 to 971 of the family's 1533-position model. The record is from RNAcentral. Lineage: Bacteria; Bacillati; Bacillota; Clostridia; Peptostreptococcales; Peptostreptococcaceae.